AUGGAAGUGUCGCGCCUCAAAACGUUCAUGAGGAACAAUGCAAGGCUCCAAUCACUUGGACUACCUACAUUAUCAACAUUGUUUGCAAACAAAGAUGUCAUUUCACCUGAAAAAAGAAAGCCCGAGCAUACUUGUGCUGAAUCUGAAGCUGAGUACCAUCCUAAGGAGGAGGACACCAGUGAAGGAGACUUGUCUGAUGAUAGUUUAAUAGAUGAGAGGGAAGUACUGCAAGACUUAAAGUCCACACCAUCUCCUAGCUCAAAGUUGAAGGGGUUGAACGACUGUAAGAAGACCAGUGAGGAAACUAAUAAGAAAAUAUCUACUGCCAUGGCCCCUGGUGGAAUCAAGCCUCGGCCUCCUAAAAGAAUUCAUGCGGAGCUUCCAACGAAUGUGCGAGUCAGCAGGUCGAACAAAAGACUAUUACUAGAUGCUGAUGCAAGUCCUCAAAGUGAAGGGGUGUCAGAUCCUAAACAUCAAACACCAAUUGCAAUCCAUGGCGACCGUGCCCAUUCUGAUGAUGACUACUGGAUGAGCAAUGGAUCUGAUCUCAUUGCCCGUCAUGAUGAUGGCAACCAUAUGGACUUCGAAGCUGGUGGGCCACGAUCCUAUGAGGAGACAAGGGAAAGGGGGUCAAUAUUGGAAAAGGCCUGGAAAGGAUCAGUCGACGUCGGGGGGGCAAGCUGCCGCUUGUCAUUCCAGAAGGGAGGUUAA
This 711-nucleotide ribosomal RNA is filed under the name Triticum aestivum (bread wheat). RNAcentral's name for it is "partial small subunit ribosomal RNA". The record is from RNAcentral. Lineage: Eukaryota; Viridiplantae; Streptophyta; Magnoliopsida; Poales; Poaceae.